This is a long non-coding RNA of Gopherus evgoodei (Goodes thornscrub tortoise), 704 nucleotides long. RefSeq lists it as uncharacterized. Lineage: Eukaryota; Metazoa; Chordata; Testudines; Testudinidae. The transcript has 3 exons. The record is from RefSeq and is a predicted model, not a curated record.
GAAUCUCUCCUUACAUGGCCAUAGAAGGGGUUUGUUUUUUUUGGUUUUGAAGUUAAUCCAGCUCCGAGCAGGGGUCUUGAUGCAAUGUCCCCUUAUUCAUAGGCAUGCGGCACUGCACCAGCUGAGAUUUUCAAUGGGAAUCUGACAAACCAAAUACUGAAAUUUGAGGCCCACUCCUGUUAAAUGCUGCUCCCUCUCUGCUCCUGCACUCCUCACCACAGAGGAUCCGGGUCCCUAAUGUCUGUUUUAACUUUCUGGCAGAGUUUGCACUAUGCACAUACAUUGGGUGGCACCAUGCCCACUUAUGCCAGUUGCCAGAGCCUAAAGCUGACAAGGGUCAAGCUUGCAAAAAACCACAGUGAGGCACAUCAGCUCCAGGAAGAUUCUCCAGAUGGUGAGGAACACAUGCCUCAUUACUGAAGGAUUGCAUUUGUUGGAUUUAUAAGAAUUAUAUAGGCAAUGAGUGCUGCUCCCCUUUAUUUAAGCUGUGUCACAGCCCUAUUCUGCACCCCAUACUCCAGCAAAACUCCCACUGAUGUCAAAUGGAGUUCACCUCUAUGUAAAACAGUGCCAGAACCAACCUUGCAACUAGGGUGACCAGACAGCAAGUGUGAAAAAUCAGGACAAGGGGUAAGGGUAAUAGGCACCUAUAUAAGAAAAAGACCCAAAAAUCAGGACUGCCCCUAUAAAAUCGGGCCAUCUGG